UAGCGUUCUGUAUGUGUUAGUGGUGUGUGUGUGUGUGUGUGUGUGUGUGUGUGUGUGUGUGUGUGUAUGGGUGUGAAUGUGUAUUAUAUUGCAUACGAGUGUAUGAGAGAUUGUUUUGGCCAUGUGUGUGUUUGGGUGCAUUUGCAUAUAGAAAUAAUAAUAAUAAUAAUAAUAAUAAUAACUCCUUAUAUUUAUAUAGUACUUUUCUAGACACUCAAAGUGAUUUACAUUGUAUGGUGUGUGUGUGUGUGUGUGUGUGUGUGUGUGUGUGUGUGUGUGUGUGUGUGUGGAGGAGUAGCAUCCACCUGGAUGAUGUGACGGAAGUGUAGUGCGCCAGAACGCCCACCACACACCAGCUAUUAGUGGAGAGGAGAGAGUGAUGUAGCCAGUUCAGGGAUGGAGAUUAUUAAGGGGCCAUGAUAGCUAAGGGCCAAUGGGGGAAUUUCACCAGGACACCAGGGUUAUACCCCUACUCCUUUAUGAGCUGUGUGGUGGGAUUUUUACUAACCACAGAGAGUCAGGACCUCUGUUUAACGUCUCACCCAAAAGACCGUACAACGAAAGAUGUGUAUUUGUGUGUUUGUUUUGUUUGUGUAUGUGAGUGGGCAUGUGUGUAUGUCUAUGCACGCAUGUGUAUGUUAGUUUUAUGUGUGAGUGAGUGUGUGUUUAUAUGUGUCUGUUUGUGUGUGUGUGUGUGUGUGUGUUUGGUUGCACACGUGUAUGUGCAUUUGUGUGGGUGUGCAUUGUAUCUCUGCAUGUGAGUGUAUGAGAGGUUUUUUUGUUCAAGUGCAUUUUUGUGUAUAUGUUCUGUGUGUGUGUGUGUGUUUGGGUGCAUAUAUGUGUGUAUGUAUGCAUGUGCAUUUGUGUUGUGUGUGUUUGUGUAUAUGAGUGUGCAUGUGUGUGUGAGCGAGUGUGUGUGUGUAUAUUUGUGUGUGUGUAUGUGUAUAUAUGUGUGUAGAUUUUCUGUGUGUGUUUACGUGUGUAUAUUUGUGUGUGUAUAUAUGUGUGUGUAUCUUUUCUCUGUGUGUGUAGAUUUUGUGUGUGUAUAUGUGUGUAGACUUUCUGUGUGUAUGUGUGUAGAUUUUUUGUGUGUGUGUAAGUGUGUUUGUGUGAGUGUGUGUUUAUGUGUGUGAGUGUGUAUUUAUAUGUGUGUGUUUGUAAGUGUGUGUUUAUAUCUGUGUGUGUGUGUGUGUGUGUGUAAGUGGGUUUUUAUAUGUGUGUGCGCUUGUGUGUCCGUGCGUGUGAGUGUGUGUGUGUGAGAGUAAGGGUGUGUUAUGUGUGUGUGUUUGUAAUUGUGUGUUAAUAUGUGUGUGUUUGUGUGUGUUUAUGUGUGUGUAUGUGUGUGUGAGUGUAAUUGUGUGUUCAUAUAUGUGUGUGUAAGUGUGUGUGCGUGCGUGUGUGUAUGCGUGUGCGUGUGUGUAUGCAUGUGCGUGUGCGUGUGUGCGCGCGUGUGUGUGUGCAUAUGUGUGCGUGUGUGUGUGUGUGUGUGUGUGUGUGUGUGUGUGUGCACGUGUGUGCGUGUGUGUGUGUGUGUGUGUGUGUGUGCGUAUGUGUGUGUCUUCUGAGGGCGUGGGUACGCUGUACGCGGGUGGUUAAGCUGUUAGCCUCAGAUGAAUGCAGGGGGAGCUCAGUCUCCUCUUUGAAGUGUGACAGGAGGAGGGGGAUGUUACCACGCCCACCAGGAGGGGCCUGCAGAGAGGGAGAAACUUUCGCCCUGUUUUUGUGAGGAACACUAGAGGUCCAGCUUGAGUCUCAGAUGCUCCGUUUUAAUUCUUACACUAAUUAUUCACCGGUCCUACAGCAAUGCCAGGGCUUCCUGCUUCCUGCUCCGCUUUACACUGUGAUGCAGUGCGCAGGCUGGAAAGAGUAACAGCAACACACACACACACACACACACACACACACACACACACACACUUAUGUACUCACGAUGCCACUACACACCAUUGCUUAGGAGUUUUUUAAAGUAUGAAUGAAAUCAUGUCUGUACAGUUUCUGUUGUUUAUGCUUACAUUUGUGUCAGUGAGGGCUGAAUGGGGGAACUCCCUUUUCACGCAGACCUCCCAGUGUGUGUUUCUCUCCCUGUCCACACACACACACACACUCUCCGAGGCAUGCUAGGUCGUGUCCGGGACCCACCUCAAAGGGAAACGGAGGCCCAGGUGUGCAGCAGGGGUUGGGGCUGGGACGGGUACAGACAGGCCUCGUCCCAAUCCACUGACAAGCGAAGACACUGCCUUGUUCUUCCUCGACAGACUGAGCGGAAGGCUCGGUUAAAAGAUAUCUGUGUUCAUAGGCUGUUGUGCUUGAAAAUCCCAGGAGAUCAGCUGCUUCAGAAAUACUCAAACCGGCCCAUCUGCACCUGCAAGAUCACAUUUUACCCAACUGUGAUGUCAGAUGUGAACAUUUACUGAAGAUCUUGACCUGUAUCUUCAUGAUCUUAUGCACUGCUUUGCUGCAAUGUGAUUGGCUUAUUAGAUAGUUGCAUGAAUGAGCAAGUGUACAUGUGUUCCUAAUAAAUUGUCUGGCGAGUGUAUGAAUUGAGUUUGUCGUUUUUAUUUUUUAGCAUGUUUAGUCCAAAGAGCACAUACUGGACACAACCAUUGUAAUUAUAAUACAUUUUUUGUUUUUACAAAAAUUGAACACACUGAUAUUUGUGUCUACAAACGUGUAGAUACACAACGAGUAUUGAUUUGAACACCUUUGUUUAGAGAAUACACAGAAUUAAAGCAGGAAGGAUGUCUUAAGAACAUUUGGUUAAGGUUCCCUCUGUUUCAAGGUUCUCUCCAGCAAGCACUUUAUCCUGGUAACGGUGCUGGUGGAUCCUGAGCCUUUUGGUUGGGAUGCCAGUCCAGUGCAGGGCACCAUGCACAUACAUUCACACACUCGUUCACACCCAAGGGCUAUUAAGUAUUGACAUUCCACCUACUGGCAUGUUUUUGUGGAAUGCUAAGAAACCAGAGAACCUGGAGAUAGUAACUCGAACUCAGGAUCCUUGGAGAGUCAUUGUGACCUUCUCUUCUGAAUUCAAAACACAAACUAUUCAGUAAAUUCUAUAUGAGUACAAGUAUGUAUCACAAAUAUUUUUCUUCAGUGACCUUUGUUACCAUACCUUAUGGUAGGAGGUCUUAUAAUAUCAUCUGUUUACUUGGACAACAUCUUCAGUGCCAGAUGUGGGAAGAUGUGUGGAUGCUUUGUGCGCAAAACCAUGUUAAACCUUCAGCAUAAGAACAUACGGAAGUACGAAGGUUCAAAACUGUACAACAGUGUUAGGCACCCUAAAUUCAUAAUUAAUAAAUUUUUUUGGUAAAGAAAUUAAACAUGGUUAGCACAUUUACCUGGUUUGGGGUUGGAAUCCAGUCUCCACCCUGUGUGUGCAGAGUUUGCGUGUUCUCCCCAUGCUUUUUGGAGCUCCCUCCAGGUACUCUGGUUUCCUCCUCCAGUCCCCAGUCCAAAGACAUGCAUUGUAGACUGAAUGGCAUUUCCAAAUUGUCCAUAGUGUGUGAAUGUGUGUGCGAUUGUGCCCAGCUAUGGGUUGGUACCCUGUCCAGGGUGUCCCCCGCCUUGUGCCCCGGUCCCCUGGGAUAGACUCCAGGCUCCCCAUAACCCUGUGUAGGAUAAGCCAGUGCAAGAUUUCACAAUUUUGCAAUCGCAGAAAUGAACGCAAAAUCAAGCAAACUCCGCAAUAUUCAGAUGGGCUUACGUUUUUUCAAAAUUACUGCAGAUUUUGCACAGAUUUGGGCCAAGAUGUGUCAUGUGAUGUCUUCACGAUGCGCAUGAACCCAAGCCCUCUUUGAUUCAGUUGUGUCGAGCAUGAGUACAGCUGAAAGGUCUAAUUUACCAACACCCAUCAUCUGUGAAAGAACAUGCAAUUGCAAUUUUGCCAAUUCAAGUAGUUUUCCGGAAACAAAGCCCAAAAAACUCUGCAAAUUACAUUGCAAAUUUUGAAAAAAGCUGCAGCAAAAUCACCAAAAACUCCACGCAAUCCUGUAGGGACUGAUGAGCGGUAUGGAACAUGGAUGGAAUGGGAGGAAUGGUCCAGAGACCUUUUUUUAUUUUGUUAAGAAGGAU
Ictalurus punctatus (channel catfish) is the source of this 4071-nucleotide long non-coding RNA. The record is from Ensembl. NCBI's taxonomy places the organism in Eukaryota, Metazoa, Chordata, Actinopteri, Siluriformes, Ictaluridae.